UAACGCGAAGAACCUUACCAGGUCUUGACAUCUUCUGCUAACCUAAGAGAUUAGGCGUUCCCUUCGGGGACGGAAUGACAGGUGGUGCAUGGUUGUCGUCAGUUCGUGUCGUGAGAUGUUGGGUUAAGUCCCGCAACGAGCGCAACCCUUAUUGUCAGUUGCCAGCAUUUAGUUGGGCACUCUGGCGAGACUGCCGGUGACAAACCGGAGGAAGGUGGGGAUGACGUCAAAUCAUCAUGCCCCUUAUGACCUGGGCUACACACGUGCUACAAUGGACGGUACAACGAGUCGCGAAACCGCGAGGUCAAGCUAAUCUCUUAAAGCCGUUCUCAGUUCGGAUUGUAGGCUGCAACUCGCCUACAUGAAGUUGGAAUCGCUAGUAAUCGUGGAUCAGC
Molecule: ribosomal RNA, 395 nt
Filed under: uncultured bacterium
Lineage: Bacteria
Description: bacterial SSU rRNA
Rfam family: Bacterial small subunit ribosomal RNA
Source: RNAcentral